This 74-nucleotide transfer RNA is filed under the name Patescibacteria group bacterium. RNAcentral describes it as "tRNA-Trp". It matches the Rfam family "tRNA". From Rfam's summary of the family: Transfer RNA (tRNA) molecules are approximately 80 nucleotides in length. Their secondary structure includes four short double-helical elements and three loops (D, anti-codon, and T loops). Further hydrogen bonds mediate the characteristic L-shaped molecular structure. tRNAs have two regions of fundamental functional importance: the anti-codon, which is responsible for specific mRNA codon recognition, and the 3' end, to which the tRNAs corresponding amino acid is attached (by aminoacyl-tRNA synthetases). tRNAs cope with the degeneracy of the genetic code in two manners: having more than one tRNA (with a specific anti-codon) for a particular amino acid; and 'wobble' base-pairing, i.e. permitting non-standard base-pairing at the 3rd anti-codon position. The record is from RNAcentral.
GGGGGCGUCGUAUAAUGGUAGUACAGGGGUCUCCAAAACCCCUUGCGUGGGUUCGAUUCCUACCGCCCCUGCCA